RNAcentral lists this ribosomal RNA (467 nucleotides) under uncultured soil bacterium. Its description in RNAcentral is "bacterial SSU rRNA". It matches the Rfam family "Bacterial small subunit ribosomal RNA", at positions 26 to 511 of the family's 1533-position model. The record is from RNAcentral.
AGGACGAACGCUGGCGGCGUGCUUAACACAUGCAAGUCGAACGGUAAGGCCCCUUCGGGGGUACACGAGUGGCGAACGGGUGAGUAACACGUGGGUAAUCUGCCCUGCACUUCGGGAUAAGCCUGGGAAACUGGGUCUAAUACCGGAUAUGAACUCCUGCCGCAUGGUGGGGGUUGGAAAGUUUUUUCGGUGCAGGAUGAGCCCGCGGCCUAUCAGCUUGUUGGUGGGGUAAUGGCCUACCAAGGCGACGACGGGUAGCCGGCCUGAGAGGGUGAUCGGCCACACCGGGACUGAGACACGGCCCAGACUCCUACGGGAGCAGCAGUGGGAAUAUGCACAAUGGGCAAAGCCUGAUGCAGCGACGCCGCGUGAGGGAUGACGGCCUUCGGUUGUAAACCGUCUUUCAGCAGGACGAAGCGCGAAGUGACGGUACCUGCAGAAGAAGCGACCGUCAACUACGUGACCAG